AGCGAACGCUGGCGGCGUGCCUAACACAUGCAAGUCGAACGUGAAAAGGGAAACCUGAGUAAAGUGGCGUACGGGUGAGUCACGCGUAGGUAAUCUACCCCAGAAUCUGGAAUCACCUGCCGAAAGGCGGGCUAAUACUGGAUAGAGCGAGGGAACUCGUAAGAGAGUUUUUCGGGAAAGGGAGCCCGCAAGGGCCUUCGUUCUGGGAUGAGCCUGCGUCUCAUUAGCUAGUUGGUAAGGUAACGGCUUACCAAGGCGAUGAUGAGUAGCUGGUCUGAGAGGAUGGUCAGCCACACUGGAACUGAAACACGGUCCAGAAUCCUACGGGAGGCAGCAGUGGGGAAUCUUGCGCAAUAGACGAAAGUCUGACGCAGCCACGCCGAGUGAGUGAAGAAGGCCUUCGGGUUGUAAAGCUCUGUCGGAUGGGACGAACAUCUUCAUAGUGAAUAGCUAUGAGGACUGACGGUACCAUCAAAGGAAGCACCGGCUAACUCCGUG
Molecule: ribosomal RNA, 498 nt
Filed under: uncultured bacterium
Lineage: Bacteria
Description: partial 16S ribosomal RNA
Rfam family: Bacterial small subunit ribosomal RNA
Source: RNAcentral